GUGGGGAAUAUUGGACAAUGGGCGAAAGCCUGAUCCAGCCAUGCCGCGUGUGUGAAGAAGGUCUUCGGAUUGUAAAGCACUUUAAGUUGGGAGGAAGGGCAGUAAGUUAAUACCUUGCUGUUUUGACGUUACCGACAGAAUAAGCACCGGCUAACUUCGUGCCAGCAGCCGCGGUAAUACGAAGGGUGCAAGCGUUAAUCGGAAUUACUGGGCGUAAAGCGCGCGUAGGUGGUUUGGUAAGUUGGAGGUGAAAUCCCCGGGCUCAACCUGGGAACUGCCUCCAAAACUGCAUGACUAGAGUACGGUAGAGGGUAGUGGAAUUUCCUGUGUAGCGGUGAAAUGCGUAGAUAUAGGAAGGAACACCAGUGGCGAAGGCGACUACCUGGACUGAUACUGACACUGAGGUGCGAAAGCGUGGGGAGCAAACAGGAUUAGAAACCCGUGUAGUCC
This 450-nucleotide ribosomal RNA is filed under the name uncultured bacterium. Its description in RNAcentral is "partial 16S ribosomal RNA". It matches the Rfam family "Bacterial small subunit ribosomal RNA", at positions 354 to 796 of the family's 1533-position model. The record is from RNAcentral.